CCAAGUUUCCUAAAUACAACAAUCUGACUAUGCCUAUGUAGUGCUAUGCUUGGCUGAAUCCGAUUUACGGAUCGCUCGGCUUGCAUUGCUGGGAAGUUUGGCAGUUUGUGAAUGAGAUCCAUGCCCGGGGACUAUGCCCCACUGCAUGGAUCGCCUGUAUGAUACAGAAAUGAGCUUGACGGUGCGGGCUGUAACACUCUUAUGGCCUGCGCUUGUCCUGUUCAUCCGCCGACUCUGACUGGAGUGGCCAUGUAGUCGCGUGCAGGUAGCAACGUGUUGCCCGUGACUUAUUGGCUGCGCCCUAUGAAUUGCAAAUGUUCAGUCAGAGACCCGGUACGUUGCAAACCUUCUCCCUUCGGGUGAGUCCUCUGUGUACUUCCAAAUAUUUUAAACAACCUUGGCUCGGUUCGGUUCUGCGUUGGUAGCAAUACUGACAAUGCGCCGUUCUGGCCCGGUGCGCGUUGCCUUCGGGUGACAAACGCCAACCUUA
RNAcentral lists this unclassified non-coding RNA (490 nucleotides) under Dactylogyrus petenyi. RNAcentral's name for it is "internal transcribes spacer 1". The record is from RNAcentral. Lineage: Eukaryota; Metazoa; Platyhelminthes; Monogenea; Dactylogyridea; Dactylogyridae.